UACGAAGGUGGCAAGCGUUGUUCGGAAUUACUGGGCGUAAAGCGCACGUAGGCGGAUUGCUAAGUCAGGGGUGAAAUCCCGGGGCUCAACCUCGGAACUGCCUUUGAUACUGACAAUCUCGAGUCCGAUAGAGGUGGGUGGAAUUCCUAGUGUAGAGGUGAAAUUCGUAGAUAUUAGGAAGAACACCGGUGGCGAAGGCGGCCCACUGGAUCGGUACUGACGCUGAGGUGCGAAAGCGUGGGGAGCAAACAGG
Molecule: ribosomal RNA, 253 nt
Filed under: uncultured bacterium
Lineage: Bacteria
Description: partial 16S ribosomal RNA
Rfam family: Bacterial small subunit ribosomal RNA
Source: RNAcentral